Molecule: RNA transcript, 6970 nt
Organism: Phycodurus eques (leafy seadragon)
Lineage: Eukaryota; Metazoa; Chordata; Actinopteri; Syngnathiformes; Syngnathidae
Gene name: transcription factor Maf-like
Exons: 4
Source: RefSeq, a predicted model, not a curated record
UAAAAAAAGAAAUCAAGCUGGCUCAGUGCGUGUCUCAACAGCCCACUUUGACAGGCGCUCCUCACCCCCUUUGGAGGACUGUCAACAGCAAGAGGAUGGCAUCAGAGCUGGCAAUGAGCAACUCCGACCUGCCCACCAGUCCCCUGGCCAUGGAAUAUGUUAAUGACUUCGAUCUGAUGAAGUUUGAAGUGAAAAAGGAGCCGCUGGAGCCCGAUCGCAGCAUCAGCCAGUGCAGCCGCCUGGUCGCCGGGGGAUCCCUGUCUUCCACCCCGAUGAGCACGCCCUGCAGCUCGGUUCCCCCCUCUCCAAGCUUCUCGGCGCCCAGUCCGGGAUCAGGGAGCGAGCAGAAGGCGCACUUGGAGGAUUUCUACUGGAUGACCGGCUACCAACAGCAGCUCAACCCCGAGGCUCUGGGCUUCAGCCCGGAGGACGCCGUAGAGGCGCUGAUCAGCAGCAGCCACCCGCUCCAGAGCUUCGACGGCUAUGCCAGGGGGCAGCAGUUCGCCGGGGGGGCGGCCCCGGCGGGCGCCAUGGCCGGGGAGGAGAUGGGCUCGGCGGCCGCCGUGGUGUCAGCGGUCAUCGCUGCGGCCGCGGCGCAAACCGGCGCGCCCCACCACCAUCACCACCACCACCACCACCACGCGGGGGCACACCACCCGUCCUCCGGGUCCCAGUCCGGCGGCGGAGGCGGCGGCGGCGGCGGCGGCGGCGGCGGCGGCGCAGGGGGCAACAACAACAACAACCACCACCACCACCACCAUCCGCACCUGCGCCUGGACGAUCGCUUCUCGGACGAGCAGCUGGUCACCAUGUCGGUGCGGGAGCUCAACCGGCAGCUGCGCGGGGUCAGCAAGGAGGAGGUGAUCCGUCUCAAGCAGAAGAGGAGGACGCUUAAGAACCGCGGCUAUGCCCAGUCGUGCCGCUACAAGCGGGUGCAGCAGCGGCACGUCCUGGAGGGCGAGAAGACGCAGCUGAUCCAACAGGUGGACCACCUCAAGCAGGAGAUCUCCCGGCUGGCCAGGGAGAGGGACGCCUACAAGGAGAAGUACGAGAAGCUCAUCACCACCGGCUUCAGAGAAAACGGGGGCUCCGGCAGCGACCACAACCCCUCGUCCCCGGAGUUUUUCAUGACGUCGAGAAAAUUCCUCCAUCUGUGAUCGAGAAUUUGGACUUCAACGUCCCGUCACCCUCAGUCAGAGAAAUCCUUCCACUGGAACGCUGAUGUUUCAAGAUGGACGUACAGCACGCGGACUGCCAUAAAGCACAAGAGGGCCCGGACCUGGGCUGUGAUCUCGCCCUGCGCCACCAGGCGCUCGCUCAGCUCCCACAGGCCGGCAGCAGCGUCCGGGUCCUGGGCCUGGACGGAGGGCUCGCAGCGGAAGCAGUUGUUGAAGUACAUGCCCCCCAGGCCCUCCAGCUCGGGAGCCACGGCGCAGUACACGGUAGUGGCGGCGCCUUGUUGCUGCAGACAGAAACAAAACACACACAUGAACUCAGAAAAGGAAACAAAGAACACACAAAGUGGACAUGCUGCCUCUCCUGUACAUAUAUUUAUAUACAUAUAUUUAUUUAUCUAUGUCUCUACUGGGUGUCUAUGGGUCCAUGAGAACAAGAACACCAUGAUGGUGUGGAUGUUUUUCCUUUUGUAUGCCGUGAACCCUCACAUAUUUGCAGAAUUUUUUGGGAACCUAUUCAGCGUUUUUGUGCUCAUCUCAUACAGAAAUACUGCUUUGGUGCCAUCCGGUGGCAUCUUAGUGCUUGACUUAAUCGGGCUAUUUCAUUGUCUAAUAGAACACUAGUGCUUUACCACCAUUUUGUGUUAUCUCUAGGCAACUGCUAACCAUUUUUUUGCCGGUGUCAAUUAUUGGCGUCAGGGCUCGGUCUUCAUCCCAGGCGAAUAGCAAGGGUUCACUGUAUACGUGAAAGGACAAGGUUAUAAAUAUGUAUAUUUUUCACAUGGAAUUAAGGUGGUGAGUUAGUUGUUAGCCUCGCAGUUCUGAGAUUCGGGGUUCGAUCUCAGCUCUGGCCUUCCCCCGUGCUUGCGUGAACAUUCUUCAGGCUUCCUUCCCAUGCUCCAAACAAACACACAUAUUAGGUUCAUUAAUGACUCGAAAUUGUCAAAAGGUGUUAAUGUGAGUCUGAAUGCUUCUUUGUCCAGACGGGCCCUGUAAUUGCUCGCCGACCAGUCUGGGGUGUGCCCCACCUUUCUCGCUUAAAGUCAACUGAGAUAGAGAUAGACUCCAGCUCACCCGCCACCCUGAGGAGGACAAGAACUAUAAAAAUAAUAAUAGAUAAACGCAACUAUAGUGAGAACUGUCUGGGACCCAAAAUUGAGCCUUGUGGGACGCCACAAUAUUGAGGAGCUGUGACAAAGGAAAGCUGGUCUCACUGAAUAGGAAAACUUUGAUGAAAUAUAUCCUAUUCAUACCGUGGGACAGCUGUAAUGUGUAUCUAUUUUGCUCAUCAGUUCUGUUAAUAAUGGGAAUGCGAAAAUGGGCUGGAUGUUUGUCUAUAUGUCACCUGUGAUUGCCUCACGACCGGUCCAGAGUGUACCCUAUUUCUCUGGCCCCACCGUCAACUGGAAUAGGCCAGAGUUAAAACCUUAUGAGAACAAAAACCUAUAGAAAAUGUCUGGAUGGAAUUAGCACGGCAUUGGGGAAGUUGUUUGGAAAUGUGUACCGCUUCACACACAUGCACACACACGCACACACAGACACAACACACAGAGUACUGCUCUGUGUCAGGAAGUCGUCUCAGCUAAGUUUGCGGGCAUCAAAAGACGAUGCUUGGAUGCCGAGUUGUCUCGUAGGCUCCGGUCAGUCAGUCAGUAAUUAGCAGGGAUAUUUACGCCGGAUCUGUGACAUUUUGAAAACCAAAGCGGGCACGAAGACGUCAGGCGGAAUUACACACAUUUGCUGGGACGCUCAAAGGCUUUCAUAAAAAUAAAACAUAAUAAUAAGCUGCUGGGACAGCUUCCACCGACCCCACCAAAGAGGACGUCAAAGUUGGACACAUGAAAUGUUUGCACCUCUUUAUCUGAGAGCGGGAGAAGCCAAAGUGGUGUUAAGCACCACAGACACACACACACACACACGAUGGAAAGCCGUUUGAACAUUCAUUCCAUAUCCUUAAUAUCCAGCUUAAGGUCCAUGUACUAGUACGCUCUUUGUCCUCACUAGUAAGUAAAAUCAGAGCAUCGGUACAACGACUGUGUCUUACUAGUAACCAGUCCAGAACAGUCCAGUUGGAAUCAGUUCAAUGCCCUGAGAACUUUCUGGUAAAAAAUUAUUUUUCCCAUUCCUGUAAGACAAUUCUGCAAACUCUGCAAAAAGGAUGUGUUACUAGUGAGGCAAAUAACUAGUAUGCAUCCUAGUCCCUGCAAAUGUAGUCCUAUUAGUGAGGACAGAAAAUGUACUAGUACCUGGACCUUAAGCUAGAUAUCCAGGAUAUCAAAAAAAGCUCAAACAACUUUGUGGAAUUCCGUUUGAGCAUUUAUUAAAAAAUCAGGUCUUACUAGGAGGCCUAAAGUGCCACCAGUAGUGGGGAAAAUAUGUUGCUUGUAAAACAUGUCAUUUUACUAGUGCACUGAAUUGCAUUAAAUUACCAGUGAGGACAAAAAGCAUACUAGUUCAAGGCGAAAAGUGGCACUAGUCGUGGAAAAAACAUUAGUCCUAAGACACAGUCGUUCUACUAGUGCACCUUUUUGUUUUACUCGUAAGGACAAAAAGUGGUCCAUGAAACUUAAGAUGGAUAUCAAGGACAUCAAUUCCAUUUGAGCAUUUAUUCGAUAUCCAUGUUAGGUCUUACUAGUGAGCUAAAAGUAACACUAGUAGUGGAAACAACAUCGGUAGUAAGCUGAAUUGUCUUACUAGUGAGGACAAAGAGCAUACGAGUUCAUAAACCUUAAGCUGGAGAUCGAGUAUAUCGAAUAAAUGCUCAAACGGUUCUCCAUACACACCACACACACACCAACUGUUUGAAAGCACAGCUGUGCUUCCACAUGCUAAAUGCAAAUGAAGAAGGGGAAAAAAAAGAUUCCAAGAUUUGUCAUCAAUGAAGCCACAAGCUAGAGCUGGAAGCAAACUUCCGCGUUGCGUUUGAAGCGCGGCGUGAUGAGAAAAACACGACGUCUCGUUCUAACCUGCCAGCCGGCCGAUAACUGGGCCCGGCGUGGCGUCUCAUGUAUCAAAGACGAGGACAAAUGCCAGGCAGUGUCUCUCUGAGCUGGAAAGUUCACACGGAUGUUGCUCGCCUCCGCGCUUUCGAACCAACAUGCACGCUCACGCCGCCUUCAACACGGAUGACUUUGAGUCCAGCUGCUAAACACUGGCUGCACUAGGAGAUGGAACUAAGUAAAAGAUUUGCUGAGGACUUCUUCUCAGUUUUGAAUCCAGGGGUGGGAAAAGUAUUCUUUAAUCUGAUAUAUUAGCAGUCCUUUAAUAUUUAUGUGAAUUUAGCUGUUUUUCCUAAUAUGCAAUUGGUUAAUUGACGUGUAUUAAUUCAUUUUUGCAUUUUUGUAUUUUAUUUAUCUCAUUCAAUGAUUGGUAAAUGGAUGAUUUUACAAGAAAAAAAAAUUAGCCUAUUCAAAAUUUUUGGGGGAACCAAUUCUGUUAUUCAUUUGUGAUCAAGCCAAAGCCAAUGUUUCAUAUAAAAGUACUGCCUCUUCAAUCCAAAUUGUGAAUACAUUUUUGAAAAUUGUACACUUCCAACUUUGCGGGAACAGUUCUUAUCGAGGCAAAGUCCAAAAAGUCAUGCUGGCAGAAAGCCCUAACUUAAACUCCAUCAAACACCAUUCGGAUUAACUACACCUGACAUUUUACCCCCCAAAAUGUUCGCAAUAUUGGGCUUUUGGGUGACAUUUCUGGAUGAAAAUGCACUGUAACCUUUCCAGCUGAACUUUAUUUGACCGUGAAACUUUUAAAUGCAAGUUCAACUUUUCAAUGUUUCAGUAGUUCCACAGCAGGUGCUUAAUCUAUAAAUGGACUAAUAAAUGCCCUGUUUCAAUUACAAUUGCUAUUUGAACAAUCUUCAUCAUGUGGUUUACAUUUUGACAUUGUUAGACCAAGGCAACACAUAAGAAUUGAUCGACAAUAAGGGAAGUGUUCACUGAGCUUGGAGUGUCACACAGUGUCAUCACUAGUGAAUGCUCAUUUCUCCAAACGGGCCAUGCAAUUGGCGACAACGUCCAAAGUGUACCUCACUUCUCUGGCUCAAAGUCAACUGAGAUAGACUCAAGCUCACCCGACACCCUAAUGAGGACAAGUGUUUGGGUAGAUGGAAGGAGCUAUAAUGAGAAAAGUUUGGGACUCAAAAUUGAGCCCUGUGGGAUGUCACAAUCCAGUUGAGCUGGAGUCAGUUAAGGCUUAUCUCACUGAACAGGAGAAACAUCCAUCCAUCCAUCCAUUUUCUGAGCCGCUUCUCCUCACUAGGGUCGCGGGCGUGCUGGAGCCUAUCCCAGCGGUCAUCGGGCAGGAGGCGGGGUACACCCUGAACUGGUUGGGAGCCAAUCGCAGGGCACAUACAAACCAACAACCAGUUGCACUCACACCUACGGGCAAUUUAGAGUCUCCAAUUAAUGCAUGUUUUUGGGAUGUGGGAGGAAACCGGAGUUCCCGGAGAAAACCCACGCAGGCACGGGGAGAACAUGCAAACUCCACACAGGCGGGGACAGGGAUUGAAGCCAGGUCCUCAGAACUGUGAGGCUGACGCUCUAACCAGUUGGCCACCGUGCCGCCACAGGAAAAUCAAUGAAAUGUAUAUUUGAACCACGUCACCUCAGAAAUGCAUAGAAGUUGACGUCCUUGGAAAUUUCCAUUUUGCUCCGUGUUAGAGAACAGAAAAAGUAUUGAAAUAUUGAACAGUGUGAUGUAUGGUAAAAAUUGUAAGGUCAAAUUAAGUUCACCUAUGUUCAUCCUGAUAUUUCACCUUAACCCUUUGUGAGUAGUGUAACUUAAGCGUGAAGAAUCCAAACAGACGCUUGUCCGCCCAACACUGGCAGAAACACUUACAUACAAACAAAAACAACAUAUCGUCAUAUGUGUGAAUGGCUCACGAGGACAAUCUCCAUGUGUGUACAUUUAGAUGUGUAAAUGUGUGUAUUUAUCAGUCUGUCUCCAAGUCAAUGUAAAAACCCACGACCCCAUCUUAAGUGUUUUCCAGAGGCGAGCAGUCCAAACUGGGAUGUGCGGAUUCAUGUGCUGUGAUGCCGAUAGGGCGCCACGGGUCCAUUCUUCUCAUUCUUCUUAAUGUGAUAUUAAUGAUAAUGUGGGGCGCACUUGCCAGUGCUAUUUGUGGCUACGUUACUCAAGUGAAUUUACUUCAUUAUCGACGUUGAACUGCUGUGCAAUUGCCAAUUUAAGAGAGCACCACAGUUUUUCUUUUAAAAAAGAAAGAAACAAACAAAGAGAGAAAGGAUAUAGUGUCAGCUAUUAAUCAGUUUUGCAGAUUGUAUGAUGACUUUCUUGGGAAAAAAAGCACCAAAAUAUUAAUAAUAUUACUGGGAAAGCAAAGAUGGUUAGUCAUUUAAAAAUGGACAUAGUAAAAUUGUGUGAAUUGUCCUAUAAGUGGGAGGAAUUUUUAAAAUUGUAAUUAUGCUUUUCAAAUGGUGUAAUAUUAAUUUUAUGAAGUUUUUAAAUUGUGUAAGUAUUGUAAUGUCCAAGUCUUCCAAGCCUCCGCAUUGGCACCCCAAACACCCGAGGACUUCCUCAUGGCCAGACAGCCUUGUACAGUAUCAGUGUGCAAAACUCUUUAACAAGCGUAUUCGAAAGCAAGUACGUGUGUGUGUGUGUGUGUGUGUGUGUGUGUGUGUAUGAGGGGGGAAAUGUGGUGUAAUGUUUUUUGUUUGUUUUGUUUUUGCCGUGUUCUCUUGUGUCAUCGUCUUGCAUGUGACCCCUGACCCGAUGCCUUCUCUCUGUCUUCCAUCUGUAGCUAUGACAUUGACCUGGAUCAUGUAAAUAAAGCCAGUACUGUA